UAGCCAUAAUAUAUGUGCAGGAUCAGUUCUAUUAUAUAUAAAUAUAUAUAUAUAUACAGUAUAACCUACACAUUUUUUGUGAUGAAUAAUUUGAAGUGAUCAUUUUGUUUUUCUUUUUCUGGAUGAUGUGAUGUCUUUGUUUGUUGACUUAACCAUUGUAUACUUAAAGAAGAUUGUGUGCAGUGUUUUGUAACUGUGAUAUGUUUUUGCCAUGUGGACUUAAAGGCAAGAAUGAUAACUAAGUCAGACCUCGAAUGUGGUCUACAAAUAAACCAAAGUGUUCUGGUCAUUUUACACAAUAACAAUGUGUAUACACCAUUAAAAUCAGUGGUGGUCAAUUCUUAUUUUGCUUUCUAUGGUAGAUUUGUUAGGUAUAAAAUUAGUUCUUCUGACUCCUUUUGCAAAAAAAAAAAAAAAAAUUAUGCUGCUCUCCAAAAUUUGAAAUAAUUUAUAUCCCUUCUACAUCUUAAACCUCAAAUAGACUCAAUCAAACAUAGCAUCUGUUGUGAUGUGCCAAGAAGAAUUUUUUUCCCGCACUGUCAACAAGUAUGUAUGGAAUAUGGCUAUCAUCACAGUUAAGCAGAAUGAAUUAUAUCAUGCUUUUUAACCAUUUUCCUUUGAAAAUGCCAAUAAAUUAUGUUUUCAACUGCCAGAUAAAUACUUUGCUAUAUAAUGUCUACAUUUUCCAUAACUAUACACCAUGCAUGAUUCCUACCAUCCUUAUUGAUAUAGCUUGUAGAAAGGCAGUCUGUCAACUAGUUCCUGUUUUAUAGCUACUGGAAUCCAUUUUGUUCUAAUACCACUGUUUUGACAACUGCCAUACAAAGAACAUCAAGCUAGGUGCUUAAGGAAACAACCUUUGUAUCUAUUGUACUUUAAAGUUUGGUAGAAAGUCAGCACUCCAUACAUGCUGUCAUAGAACCAAGAGAAAGAAACUAAAUCAAUAAAAGCUGGAGGCAGCAAAUGCAGUACUCUAGCACAACUAUACUCACACUAUAUAUACUGUAUAUAUAUAUAUAUAUAGUGUGAACAUCUCCCAAAGAAAAAAAAAAUAAAUU
This 1058-nucleotide long non-coding RNA is filed under the name Androctonus crassicauda. Lineage: Eukaryota; Metazoa; Arthropoda; Arachnida; Scorpiones; Buthidae. The record is from RNAcentral.